This is a non-coding RNA of Odocoileus virginianus texanus, 899 nucleotides long. The record is from RefSeq and is a predicted model, not a curated record. Lineage: Eukaryota; Metazoa; Chordata; Mammalia; Artiodactyla; Cervidae.
GCAAGGACGCCACUGAAGGCAGGAUAAUCUACCUCGGAUCGUCCGGGCCUUUGAGCUUCUGUUUUAGGGACUUCCCUCUCUGACUCUUAGUUUCCGUGUUUGUAAAACGGGUAGCGCUUAGCAUAGAGGGCUGCUGUGACAAUAGGGAUUCAACGUAAGGAUUCAGUGCAUUCACCGGCCUAGAACUCGUGGCACACUCCAGGCACGUCAUUCAUUCGUUCAGCAUAUUUGUGCCAGGUACUGUGGUGCAGAAAUUGAGGCUCCCAGGGGUCACUAAGCUUGCCUAAGGAGUCAGCUCAGUCUGGCUCCAAAAUGGUACCCCUCUAUUAGGUUGGCUCUUCCCAAGUCCACAACACCCUCGAAGUCUGGAGUUAUACCCAAACUUAUCCACGUGGGCCCCAGGACUCCUGGAGCUAUAUCCUUAUUAGCCGCACCCAGUGGGCGUAGAAAGUGGUUGCCUGACAGAGAAAGCUGUCUGACUGGUGUUCCAGUUGUCAGGUAGUCACCCAUGCUGGCCCGGGACACUGACUUAAAGGCAGGCAGGUACAUGUAGAGAGGGUCCACCCAGAACCUCCCAGCCCAUCAUCUGCUUCCCACACUCAGCCCCAGCACUGGACCCGGCACACCCCAGUGCUGCCUGCAGCGACCUGUUGAAUACAGUCACACACUCGCACGCAGGAGGGUGUAAGCCAGCCUCCGAUUCCCUAAAUCUCCCCAACGCCUGGGCAGCGACCCUCCCCUCUCCCUGCAGAGCUUCAGUCCCCGCCGCGCGGUCCAGCCGGAUCCGGUAAAAUGUUCCUGCCUCUUUAAGAGAAUGAACAGUCAGCCGGCGUUGCCUGGCAGCGCCUCGGCGGUCGCCAGGCAACGUCAACAAACGACUCAGCCGCCGUCUCCGCGCU